UGACCUCAAAUCGGGUGAGACUACCCGCUGAACUUAAGCAUAUCA
Molecule: ribosomal RNA, 45 nt
Filed under: Russula cyanoxantha
Lineage: Eukaryota; Fungi; Basidiomycota; Agaricomycetes; Russulales; Russulaceae
Also listed under: 9 other names
Description: partial 25S ribosomal RNA
Source: RNAcentral